AGCAGUAGCCACGGGAAUACGUAGGGUGCUAGCGUUAAUCGGAAUUACUGGGCGUAAAGCGUGCGCAGGCGGUUUGUUAAGACAGAUGUGAAAUCCCCGGGCUUAACCUGGGAACCGCAUUUGUGACUGGCAAGCUAGAGUCUGGCAGAGGGGGGUGGAAUUCCGCGUGUAGCAGUGAAAUGCGUAGAUAUGCGGAGGAACACCGAUGGCGAAGGCAGCCCCCUGGGCCAACACUGACGCUCAUGCACGAAAGCGUGGGGAGCAAACAGGAUUAGAUACCCCCGUAGUCCCUGUCUCUUAUAC
This 303-nucleotide ribosomal RNA is filed under the name uncultured bacterium. RNAcentral describes it as "partial 16S ribosomal RNA". It matches the Rfam family "Bacterial small subunit ribosomal RNA", at positions 507 to 807 of the family's 1533-position model. The record is from RNAcentral.